UGAGAGAUACAGGCAAAUCCGUAUUUCAAUCCAAUGGUGUUACGCGGAGCGAACAAAAGUAGCGAAGCACACAGACCAUCUGUCGAGAAAAGCCGCUAUUGUGUAUACCGUACCCGUACCGUAAACCGACACAGGUGGAUGAGGAGAGAAUCCUAAGGCCGGCGGGAGAAGCAUUGUUAAGGAACUCGGCAAAAUGACCCCGUAACUUCGGGAGAAGGGGUGCUCACGCAAGUGAGCCGCAGAGAACUGGCCCAAGCAACUGUUUAGCAAAAACACAGGUCUAUGCAAAACCGAAAGGUGAGGUAUAUGGGCUGACGCCUGCCCGGUGCUGGAAGGUUAAGAGGAGAUGUUAGAGCAAUCGAAGCAUUGAAUUUAAGCCCCAGUAAACGGCGGCCGUAACUAUAACUGUCCUAAGGUAGCGAAAUUCCUUGUCGGGUAAGUUCCGACCCGCACGAAAGGCGUAAUGAUUUGGGCACUGUCUCGACAAUGCACCCGGUGAAAUUGAAAUACCAGUGAAGAUGCUGGUUACCUGCGCCAGGACGGAAAGACCCCAUGGAGCUUUACUCUAGCUUGAUACUGGGAUUCGGUAUUGCAUGUACAGGAUAGGUGGGAGACGAAGAGGUGAUGACGCCAGUUGUCACGGAGUCGAUGUUGGGAUACCACCCCUGCAGUACUGGGUUUCUAACCUGCGGCCGUGACCCGGCCGGGGGACAAUGUCUGGUGGGGAGUUUGACUGGGGCGGUCGCCUCCGAAAGGGUAUCGGAGGCGCUCAAAGGUUCCCUCAGAAUGGUUGGAAACCAUUCGAAGAGUGCAAAGGCAGAAGGGAGCUUGACUGCGACACCGACGGGUGGAGCAGGUACGAAAGUAGGACUUAGUGAUCCGGUGGUAUGAAAGUGGGAUUGCCAUCGCUCAACGGAUAAAAGCUACCCCUGGGAUAACAGGCUUAUCACUCCCAAGAGUUCACAUCGACGGAGUGGUUUGGCACCUCGAUGUCGGCUCAUCGCAUCCUGGGGCUGUAGUAGGUCCCAAGGGUUGGGCUGUUCGCCCAUUAAAGCGGUACGCGAGCUGGGUUCAGAACGUCGUGAGACAGUUCGGUCCCUAUCCGGCGUGGGCGCAGGAUAUCUGAGAGGAGCUGUCCUUAGUACGAGAGGACCGGGAUGGACUGACCUCUGGUGCAUCGGUUGAGCCACCAGGCUCAUGGCCGAGUAGCCAAGUCGGGACGGGAUAAACGCUGAAGGCAUCUAAGCGUGAAGCCCCCCUCAAGAUGAGAUAUCCCAUAGAGUUAAUCUAGUAAGACCCCUUGAAGACGACGAGUUAGAUAGGCAGAAGGUGGAAGUGUGGUGACAUAUGGAGCUGAUCUGUACUAAUAGGUCGAGGGCUUAAC
Molecule: ribosomal RNA, 1384 nt
Filed under: metagenome
Description: bacterial LSU rRNA
Rfam family: Bacterial large subunit ribosomal RNA
Source: RNAcentral